RNAcentral lists this ribosomal RNA (497 nucleotides) under uncultured bacterium. RNAcentral describes it as "partial 16S ribosomal RNA". It matches the Rfam family "Bacterial small subunit ribosomal RNA", at positions 28 to 507 of the family's 1533-position model. The record is from RNAcentral.
GAUGAACGCUGGCGGCGUGCCUAAUACAUGCAAGUCGAGCGAACAGACGAGGAGCUUGCUCCUCUGACGUUAGCGGCGGACGGGUGAGUAACACGUGGAUAACCUACCUAUAAGACUGGGAUAACUUCGGGAAACCGGAGCUAAUACCGGAUAAUAUAUUGAACCGCAUGGUUCAAUAGUGAAAGACGGUUUUGCUGUCACUUAUAGAUGGAUCCGCGCCGCAUUAGCUAGUUGGUAAGUUAACGGCUUACCAAGGCAACGAUGCGUAGCCGACCUGAGAGGGUGAUCGGCCACACUGGAACUGAGACACGGUCCAGACUCCUACGGGAGGCAGCAGUAGGGAAUCUUCCGCAAUGGGCGAAAGCCUGACGGAGCAACGCCGCGUGAGUGAUGAAGGUCUUCGGAUCGUAAAACUCUGUUAUUAGGGAAGAACAAAUGUGUAAGUAACUAUGCACGUCUUGACGGUACCUAAUCAGAAAGCCACGGCUAACUGCGUG